Molecule: ribosomal RNA, 492 nt
Filed under: uncultured bacterium
Lineage: Bacteria
Description: partial 16S ribosomal RNA
Rfam family: Bacterial small subunit ribosomal RNA
Source: RNAcentral
AAUGAACGCUGGCGGUAUGCCUAACACAUGCAAGUCGAACGGCAGCACAGUAAGAGCUUGCUCUUACGGGUGGCGAGUGGCGGACGGGUGAGGAGUACAUCGGAAUCUACUUUUUCGUGGGUGAUAACGGAGGAACACUUACGCUAAUACCUCAUACAACGUACGGGUGAAAGCAAUGGAGCUUGGGACCUUUCGCGAUUGUAUGAGCCGGUGUCGGAUUAGCUAGUUGGCGUGGUAAAGUCACACCAAGGCGACGAUCCGUAGCUGGUCUGGGAGGAUGAUCAGCCACACUGGAACUGAGACACGGUCCAGACUCCUACGGGAGGCAGCAGUGGGGAAUAUUGGACAAUGGGCGCAAGCCUGAUCCAGCCAUACCGCGUGGGUGAAGAAGGCCUUCGGGUUGUAAAGCCCUUUUGUUGGGAAAGAAAAGCAGCAGGUUAAUACCCCGAUGUUCUGACGGUACCCAAAGAAUAAGCCCCGGCUAACUUCGUG